GGAGUUGAUUAAUUUUGUGUAUAUUGUUAAUGUUUUAUAUUGUGUUUACUUCAUUGAAUUGAAUGAGGUAUAAUAUUUAUAAGGAUGCCCUCAAACUGACGACCAAGAAGGCCUUUCUAUAUUACAUAAAAUCUAUUCGUCUAUAGAACUGCAACAAAAAUCAGCUGAUUUCGAAGCGCUUUUAAAAGGAACUAAGAGGAUAUCCUACAUCAAACAUUAGAAUAUUGAUUUAGUUUGGAAGAUGUGGUGUAUUAUUCUUAAUGUUCUUCUGAAUGCCCCAAUUGUGUUCAGUGUUUUAACUGAUUACUCUUUAUGUUUUAAGUAUUAAAAGAUUGAUAAUAAUGUAGUGGUAUAUAUAGACACAAAGAGUACCUCUAAAAUGAUAAAAAAGUUUUAUUCGAAUGUUCAUUUGUAGGCUAAAUGAAUAAUAAUGAACAGUUAAAUUGUUUCUGCAUUUUGUAUGUUCAAAAUGUCUAUCACAAGAGUAUAAACAAAUCAAAAAUACACUUUGCUGUGACAACACAACAAAAUACAUACUGAGUCCUGACUAUACACGUGGUCUGUUCUGUUUUUAACUAUUGUUAGAAAUCUUUACCCAUUGUCGUUUAAAAACAUUUACAUCUGAACGAGAUCCUAAAAUCAUUGUGGAAUUAUUAAUUAGUUAUGGUUUAUAACAAUCGCCAACUAAGCUCAGUAGUAUAUAAAACCUAAAGAACUAUCAACGGAGAGACUAUUAGAGGAGCACUUAGUGGUUAUAUGGACAUUUUCUCUUUUUUGACUUAACCUUUUUACCUAAAAAAUACAACAAACAAAUAUAAAUUAUUUAUUUCUCUUUGCUUUCAUGUUUUUGUUAAAGAAAAACAUAAAUUAUUAACCUUAGAAUUUUGUAUUAAACUUUCUCAAGUAUGUUAAGAGCAGGUUCACAUUUUCUUUUGUUAUUAAAUUUUAGAUUUUAAGUUCUAAAGAUAUUGUUUCUUUAUUUUUGAUGUUAGUUUGAUAACAACAGUCGUUCUAGCAAAUUCCAAGAAUUCGAAAAAUUUGUUUGUUGUUGACAGAAACAGCAGGCAACAUAAGGGACUUUAUUUGCAGUCAACUGCGUUAUUUGAACGCAAAAUGUUGACAAAGGCAACUAGUUAGUUUUUUAAGUGUCAUAAUUUUCAAACUCGGUGAUGAUCGUUGAACAACUACCAAAAACAAAAUUGUCUACACUCCACUCCUCCGGGGCAAGCUGCAACUCCAUCUCGACCUGUAUUUAUGAUUUAAGUAAAAUAUUACUUAUUCCUUUCUUAAUUUGACAAAGAACCCUUUUAAAAAAAAAGUUUUAAAUAGAAUUGUGCUGAAAAUAAAUAAAUCACAUAGUAAUAAAGUUCAGCCUUCAGUUGAAUAAAAAAUGUGAUUAGCUGUUAUUUUGACAUAAGUGAAAUUGACCUGAUGGUUAUGGAGGUUUUUCUUCACUAACUAUCAAGUCAACUUUCCAAUAAAGUUACGUCAAUGUAACUUUAUGUGACAAAAAAUGUAUUUCAUAUUUGGCACUUGUAACUGUUUUAGGUCCAAAGAUAAGGGUUUAAGAAGUUUUAUAUUAUGUAAACUUCGAGUUACCAAACACAAAACAAACAUAUCUAUAUUUGUAAAUCCUUAAAAAAACGUAAAACAGCUUGUUUUCAAAAAAUGGUAUCUUAAUUAUUACACCUUAAAUUGUAUUUAUUAAAACAUUUUAUAAACAAUGCGAGUAUUUUAAAGUCAACAUAAAUUUGGAGGUAAUUAUGAUUCUAAAGGCUUAAGAUUAAAAUUAAAUAAAUUGUUUUAAAGCAUUCUUUAAUCUUAUUUUUAAGCUAUCCACUUAAAAAAAUUGAAUUAGUGUCUAGCGUUCAUUUUCUCAACUAAUGAACGAUUUCUUACAUUAGUAUGAUUUUUUAAUUAAAAGACGAAAAACUAGGUUUUCAAUUACCGUCCAAUUAGUAAACUAGUAAAGAUUCUAAGGCUUCUUGGUAUAACAAUCCUUUAAGGUGUUCCUGAAAGUAGUCAAUUAGGUCCAUCGCUUUUUGAUAAGAUUUGACAACGAUAUAAAAAUAUUUAGAUUUACAAGGAAUUAUAAGAAUUGCAUUGCAUUCUAACAGGACACUACUAACUUUGAGAUAUGAUGCAAACUAAAAUUAUAACCUUUUCAAUAUGCGGUUCUGUUUUGUUUUUCAGUUGAAUAUGAAAUCAAAUAGCUUUUAAUUAGCCUCUAAAAAGCUAUAUAAUGAAUCGGCCAGAUUACUUAAAAUCAAAGGCUCAGGUGUUGGGUUGAAUUUUAAGUCAAAUGUUUCAUAUAUUAUCUCUUAAUCAAAUUCUAUGUUCGGUAUUUUGAAAUGAAAUUCUUCAGUUUUAGUGACACUUGCACUCUGAGAUCGUUCGCACCUAUUGGAGUGUUGUUCAAUUAUUUGGAAUCCGGACAAAAUACAUUUUUUAAAAUUGAAUACGUACAUAUAACGUCACUAAAAUGAAUUUGACUGCUGAAAAUAAAAGAACUUCUUGGGAAUAUUCAUGACUCUAAGAACUUUUUGAUAGAGAUUGAAAUACUAUAAUUUAUAAAGAUAAAACUAAAUGAAGGCAAAAUCAAAUCUAAUCAUAUCAUUUAAAAAUUUGAAUGUAUUUACAGUUUCUGACCAUAUUAUUAGACGCACUUUAGAUUUUAUGCAAAAUCUAAAUUUCCAGCUAUUUUAAUCAGGUUUUCAAAUAUUAUAAUGCAUUUAAAUUAUUUUGUAUGCAAUAUACUACUUCCUGGAAAUAAAGCAAUAGAUUUAAAGAUUUUUUUUUAAAUUAAUAUUUUCUGUUUUUUUUUUUCAAUAUUUUGUUGAACCUCCUUUUUCUUUAAUAAGAGCCUUAAUUCUGCGCGUCAAACUGUCAAUGCAUGAUUUGACUGUUUCCUGCAUUUGUGGGUGAUAAUUUUACACGUGAAUUACUCUUUCAAUAAGUGACCGCAUCUUUAGCUACUUCCCUCUUCAUCAGCUCCCACACGUUUUCAAUUGGGUUCAUAUCAGGGCUGUUUCCCGGCCAGUCCAACAGAGAAAUGUUUUCUUCCUUCAAAUAAGUUUGUGUGGCAUGGAGCUCCAUCUUGCAUAAAAAUGUAACCAUACAUCCUUUCUUUAACGUUAAAAAUAUAGCGAAUAAUUGCAGUGCGUCUAAUAAUAUAGCCAGGGACUGUAUGUUCAGACAUGUUUUUUUAUAAGCAAUUACAAAAUGAUAUCUUUGUAUUCAAUGAUUUUAUCCUGGUAUUGAGUAUUUGUACGAGUGCUUCAUUGUGCUGAAACUUGAAUGAAACAUCAUAAAUAAAAUUAUUAACAUACUUUACUUUUUUAAAUAUUCUCAUUUCUUCCCAAGUUUUUCAAUAAACAUGUUUGAUAAAUACUUGACUUUCUAAAGUCCUCAUACCUUAUUUUGAUUAAAAAUUUUUAAUUUUUUAUUAUAUUUAGUCUUUAAACAUUGUUAAAAUAGCUCUGAGUUUUUUUCUAUUUAUUUAUGGGGACUACUAAAUAAACAACAUUCGAAAAAUUCGCAAAUUUUUAAAAUGUACGCAUAGUUCAAGUGCUACCCUUAAGUGUAUAGUUACUGUAAAUAAUGAUUUUUAUAAUUUUAAACUGGUUUUUCUCAAAACUACUUUUUUUUAAAUUGUCGAGACUCGAUUUUUAUAUUGAUAUUCUUAAACAAAAAUGUAUGAUUCAAGGCCACUGUAACAAAACUUAAACUAAACAAUUACUCAUUUAUUGAAAAACGUUCCAAAUUUAAGUCGUUAAAUUUGUAAUCAUUUCUUUCUUAUAAUUGCUUUAAAAUCGGAUUUUAAAGUAAAUUGUGUCAUUAUUAUAAUUCAGUAAGUUUUUUUAUUUGUGGUUGUUUUUACGAUUUGAUGCAGCCAAUUAAGAUUUUUUUAAUUGUUAACAUUAACGUAAUCUGUUUAAACCCGUUUCUUUUUCCAGAAAAUAGUGUUGCUCUUUCAAAAUAUUUGUUUCACAAAUAUCUUUAAUUUUAUGGAAAAGAUAAAAUAAACGUGUUACACCUAUACCAAAACGAAUUUUUUAAAUCGCUACACGUUUCGGGAUUUAUAUUUCCAUAUAAAUAUAUGAAAAGGUUAUAAUUGAAUAAAUAUUAAGACUUUUUAGAUAAAACAAACUUAAUAUGUUCUUGUCUUUGUAAUAGAAAGUUUCAUUUUAUUUAAUAGUAUUUCCGUUUUCAAUGUCCUUAUUAAUUUUGUUUAAUAAGAGUUUCGUGAAAAAAUUAUUUUUGACAAAGUUAUUCGAAAAGCGAAGGAGGCAAGAUAAAAUAUUUCAUACAAGAUAUACUGGCAUGAAAUUUUCGUUAUGCAGUUAAUAUUCUAAUUAUUUUCUUCGAAGAGUGGACCACCACUUGUUUUUUUAGCAUAUUGAAAAGUUUCCGUUUUAAGAACAAAUUUCACUAUUCCUGAAAAAAAUCACGAUGUUUGCUGACUUAGAGGUGUUUCUUGCCUACAUUUACGCCGUUGCAGAGAUGUGUAGUUACAGUAGAACUGAGUUAGCCUUUUCACACCAAACCCAAAACCGGGUUUUCGGCAAAAUGUUUUCGAAAACCCGAAAAUCGUUCACACCGAACAUUUACACGUUUUCAUAUGACUAUUAAAAUUGUUUAACACCGGUUGUCAAAUUUUGUAUUGAUGUAAAAAUGUGUGAGUAAAAAGUUUUGCUCUUCUCAAAUCAUUUGUGAAAAUAAAAUGAAUUCUAACCAAUUCAAGUUGAUUUAAAAGUUACACUAGCUCGUCUCGAAGAAGAGUUUGAACUGAAGUUCUGGGGACGGGUGGAAUGGGCUCACGACAUAAACCAACAAGAACUACAAGCUCGCUUGGCUUCAGCUAUCAUCUUUGUUAACUUCAUCCGGUCCGAACAAUUCACUAAGGAGAAGCUAAUUGUCUAGAAAAUAUAUCAUAGAAUCAACAGCAAACAAAACUGUUACAAUAAAAAUUAAUUUUAUUUAAAACAUUUUCUUCUUCUUUCACAACAAAUUCAAUCCAAAAUACUGUGCUUAUGACUAUUGCUUCUGCUGGCCAAAUGUGAAGAUGAUGAAUGAGAAAAUUUUGAACGAUUUCGCGUAGGUCCUUAUGGCUGGAGCAGAAAAGGUCAAUUCCAAGUUCCAGAUUCGUACCAAAAUCACACUCAUCCAGAGCGAUCACUGAAGCUGGUAUGACUAUCUCUUUGGUUUCUUUCUUUGAGGACUCGCCUGGCUUGUCCAAUGAACUGAGGAUCUUCUUGAUGUUGGCAUCGCUGUCCAUCAAGGGGCGAUAGCCCAAUGUUGUUUUGUAUUUACUGGAACAACGAUUCCCACAUUGUUUGAAUGUUUUGGCGCAAAUUUUCCAAUCCAGUCACGACAGAGCCUCCACCAGAGAUUUUCUUUCAUACUUAUUCUCCUCCACAAAUGACCUUACCGCCUUUCUUAUAUCUCCCGAACCCUUGUAAUUGAACGGAGUUAUCGGAAAGUGUUUUUCCAUGUAGUAAGAAAGCGUCGAACAUAGUGGUGGUGUAAAUUAAUUUAACGCUGAAUGUUUUGAAAGGUUUAUUUGCUUAGUUCAACUUUGAAUUCCUACUAGUUUUCGAGAGGUUUUAUAUAAAACUUGUGGUUGAAGAACACUUCUGGUUUACCAUAAAUGUAUGAGAAAACUUGAGUUUUCUAUGCAGGUUUUUGACGAAAACCUAUAAUUUUGCGAAAACCUAGUUUUGGGCUUGGUGUGAAAAGCCUAUUACAGUCUACUCCACCAUGGUUUGCAUGUACUUUUUCAAAGGCAUAUUUUUAAAAAAUCUAGAAGGUAAAAUAGGCAUUAAACCCAAGGCCUGACAAUUCCAAUAUUGUAACGCUUUAUAAAUACAUGAUUGGGUGUUUUGUGAUAAUGAUAAUUAAUAUCUUAAAAAUGUUCGCCUUGGAAUAAUUUUUUGAAUUUUUUAAUAUGUUAUUCAUCAAGAAAUAUUGAUAUUGCCCAUUGAACAGCCCUAUCAUGAAUUCCAUCGUAAUCGGAAACUUUUACGAAUCCCGAAAUAAAAAUAUUACCAAAUACAAUCGUAGUGGAAAAACUCAUACAAUUUUGGUUUAGGAACGGAUUUUUGGAAUUUGUAAGUUUCCGAUUACGAUGGAAUUCGUUAUAGGGCUAGUUUAAAAUUUUUGUUUGCAAAAAAUGUCUCAUCAGUCACGGAAAUGCGUUCGGUAACAACCGAUAACAUGAUCAAUACUUAUUCUUUGUGGAUUUCAUUGAAUCCUCUUUACCAAACGUGAUAACGAGAUAUUUAUAUCUUAAAAAUGUUCUUCCCUCCGGAGCAGAAAAAUAAAAAAAUAUACAGUAGCAAAUUUAAAUAUCUUUACAAGUAUGUAUGUUUUUCGAAGUCAACAUAACAAAGCAGCACAUGGGCUUCAUUGAAGCCGCUAAAUUAAGUUAAUCGCCGAUGAACUUUUGAUAGAAAUCUACAAUUUAAAAAACCAAAUCUUUGUAAAUAUUAGAAGUACAUCCAGUGAACAUGCGGACAUUUGUUUUUAAAGAUACAAAAAAAAAUAUUAUUCUUUGAUUUUACUUUAAUUUAAGAAAAUUUGAAUUUGUAUUUCAAACUAGAAUCAUUGAUAUUCCACGAUUGUUAUAGAAAUUAAUUUAUGGCAUUGGAUAUUUUAAAUAUUAGUAAUUUAAAUAAUUCAAUUUUUUUCCAAUGAUAGCGAACUUUGAUGAUCGGCAUUAUUUUAAGGGGUCAUUGUAAAAUCGAGGAUUUUUUCAUAUUUAAUUCAUUUUCAAACUAUUUAAGUUUAUUAGAUUUUUUAAAAACUAUAUUUUCAAAAAAAUUUGUUUUAUUUCUAUCAGGAAUGAAGAUAGAUUUCCUUUUCUGUGAUCAAAUGUGGCUAUAGUUUUCAGAUCUCUGGAAACUUCUUAAAUAUUUUGUCUGCCAGAAAACGUUUUUAAAAUUUCAAAAAUACUCCUGAAAUAUCGUUUUGUACAUACAAAAGUCCUUAUUUUUUUCGUACGAAGUGAGUGCUUGAAAAAAAUGGAG
This is a long non-coding RNA of Eupeodes corollae, 7028 nucleotides long. RefSeq lists it as uncharacterized. The transcript is spliced from 2 exons. Lineage: Eukaryota; Metazoa; Arthropoda; Insecta; Diptera; Syrphidae. The record is from RefSeq and is a predicted model, not a curated record.